Molecule: long non-coding RNA, 2536 nt
Organism: Daphnia pulicaria
Lineage: Eukaryota; Metazoa; Arthropoda; Branchiopoda; Diplostraca; Daphniidae
Exons: 10
Source: RefSeq, a predicted model, not a curated record
CCAAGACCCCAAGAGAUGCCUCCUAGGGAAAAUGUCAAAAUGGUGGGAAAAAAUGGUGGAUAACGCCGUAACCCCGUAUCGGCAAAAGUGUGCUCCGUUUAACGUGGAUUUGUUCAUUUUCUUUAAACUGUGUCAUUAGGGGAUGGGUGGAAAAAUGAAUGAAUGUCGUUCGGCUGGAUCUGUGUAAUGGCCAUGAUCUGUGUCAACGUGGAUUCGUUAACUUACCAAAAGAAUGAAAGAAGCUUACAGACCACUUUUGAAGAAAGAAAUCUAAAAUUGUUAAUUUAUCCACUGCAAUUUCAAAUGCAGUGGAUGCAAUUGGUUCAAUUUUGUUGUCAGCAUAUUGAUCUUUUUCUUUUUCACUUCUCAAAUUGACUGAAACGAGUGAAACAUUUUCACACCACAAAUUGACCUAAACAUUAUUCAAACCUGUUGGGUUUCGGAGGUGGCAGUUAAGAGUAUGCCAGGUCGGGAAAUGGUAACAUAUUUUAAUGUUUUCUUCUUAAAAUAAUAUGUUUUCCUAGUAAAAUUAGCGAAAUUUCUGUUAGUUUUGAUCGCAUUGGAGUACAGUUUUAUUUUUUAUUAUCUAACAGGUCUGUUCAAGGUUUACAGCAAACUUAUAAAUUUGAUUUAAGUUAAACAUUUUAAAAGAAGUCUGUAGCCCAUCCUAAUUUUUCGUCCUUUAGGUUUCAACUCUUCCAAUUCCCUUUCAAGUUCUUUACAUUAAUUUUUUAAAAAGCAGUUAAAAGCAGAAAAAAAAUAUAGCUGCUAUCCAUGCUCCCCAUGCAUGUGCACAGUGAGGGGCUGUCUCCUAGUAUUCAUUUUAUCUUUGGUUAUUUUGAUCGAGGGAAUAUUUAGCUGGUGGUAAGCUGAAAAACUGUUUUGGCCUUUUUCAAAAUGGAGGAUUUACAGGAGCGUAUCUAGCCAAGCAAUUCCUCGCGCUAUGGAAGGACAUUUACGUCUUGCAAAACAUGAGCGUCAGCCGAUUGCCCAAAAUGUAUAGCAUGUUAACAUAGUCAAAGUUAUCAGUUGACACAAGAAUUGAUUGCUUUCUGCGGCCGUCGUAAUUUCUUCGAAGAACUGACAAUUCAUUUUCAGAUGACUGCUGCCCAUUCAACCAACAAAAGUUUGAGGCAACCAUAAUUCCAAAAGCUGGUUCAUUGCAAAACGCAUGUUGUCGAAAAAACUGACAAUUGGGAAGAAAUCGUCUGGUGAUGAAACUCUAGUCAUGGAGGACGUAAAUACGUGACUACUCGUUUCCCCAUCAAAUGAACGUUGCUGCAGUUUUGGCCAAGAUGGAAUUUGAAAGCUUCUUUAUCACGAGCUAUACUAUCCGAGGGAGAUGACUCCCACGAGGCCACGAUGCAGUUGUCAAACGAGUAUACGGUUAAACAAUUUAUAUCUGGAACUCGACAAACGCAUCACGCAUCUCUGCCUCCAACAACCACUGCUCUCUAACACAGCACGGAGUUUUGAUAUUUAGAUUGUCUGGCGGUUUCUUUAGGGAAGAUGAUAUUGCUGAGCAGAAUAUUGCCGCUAGAUGACUAGAAUGGCUUAGAUCGUUUUCAGCUUUUAGAUUGCGAGAAAGCAGAAAUAUUUCUGCGUUUUCAGAACGGAUAUAUUCAGGGAAGUACUUCUUUCAUUAAUCGAAUUAAAUUCUCUAUUAAAUAAUUAAUUUAGAUACAGAUUUUCGGUUGUUUCAAUUAACUUGAAAUUUUAAAAUUUAGUUCUGGCUUCUGGGACUGGACCGCGGGGUUGUUAUAGACCGAAGUGGCGAUGCAGUGACAACUGAAUUCACAUUGGCUGGGGCAGUGUAUGUGGGAGCGGUGAAAGUUGGAUUAUAGACUGGUUUGCUCCGAUCCGAAAUUGGCCCGUUUCAUCUGGAGACAGAACUAUUCUAACUUGGCUGAAGGAUUGAAUUUUGUGAGGUCGUGCGAACAAGAAAAACGGAACUUUGGCUACGGUGGCCACCUGCAGUCACUCACCACGGGAUUAUGGCCAGUUCAGGAAAAUUCUCGAUUUUGGCCAAAUUUUGGAUUUCGUUUUAAUCACACCUGAUCGACCCCAAAUUUUAUGGGGAUCACGAAUAUGUGGUUUAAUUUGAUGGCAGCUUAAUGGUUGAGGCACUGUGGUUACUUCCGGUAUACUUCCGGAAAAUAUUCGAAAAAUUAGCAAGUAAUGCAGAGGAGACGUCGAGAAGAUGGAUUUUCUCAUCUCUAAACAUCGUCACCGGUCUCCGUCGGAUGUUGCCCUGCUCGGUGCGAACGAAAGUCGGUGGAGUGAAUGGAUGUAAGAUUAAUGCGCCAACAAAAUACUUCUGGCAAUGGAAAUGGACAAUCGCUGGAAGUGGAAAGGGAUCAUCACUGGCAACGGAAAGGGACAAUCGCGACCGGCACCGAGACUCGUCAUCAACGGGAACAAUCGCGACCGGCACCGAGACUCGUCAUCAACGUGGAUCAUCGUAUUGUUGGUAUUAUUUCGUUUGUGUCAGUGUUAGUUAACCCGUUAGCUGCCACGCCUUUGUUCUCCCCUAGCU